This 199-nucleotide unclassified non-coding RNA is filed under the name uncultured Diversispora. Its description in RNAcentral is "partial internal transcribed spacer 2". The record is from RNAcentral. Lineage: Eukaryota; Fungi; Glomeromycota; Glomeromycetes; Diversisporales; Diversisporaceae.
UAAUAACAUUCGUGAAUUUUUUCGCGGAUUUGAGUUUUCCAGUAUUUUUAUAAUACAAAAAUGUUGGUAACUUUAAAAUUAUUUAUAACUUGGUACAAGUUGAAAACGUACUAUAUGUGUGGUUCGCUGACAACUUGUCCAUCUUUAUAUAUUAUGCGCGCACUUGGUUUUUUGAGCUCUGUGCGAGUAUAUAUUUUUU